Molecule: long non-coding RNA, 229 nt
Filed under: Manihot esculenta (cassava)
Lineage: Eukaryota; Viridiplantae; Streptophyta; Magnoliopsida; Malpighiales; Euphorbiaceae
Description: long non-coding RNA (MESC_LNC004931)
Source: RNAcentral
UAGAGGACUAUUGGUGACAAUACCAUCCGAGAUGUGAUUUGUUGUGAUGUGUUGCAUUACAUGAUGGCAUGAGAUUUUAAAUGUUGUUUUCCAUUAUUCUGCUCACUGGGCUCUAGUAGCUCACCUCUUUUCCCUAAUCCCCCAGGAUUGCAGGUACGGGCUAGACAGAGAAGUCAAGAAGAGUAAAGUCAUGUGUUUGUAAUAGAUAGAAAGUGGACAUGAUAAAUUG